Small nucleolar RNA from Scatophagus argus, 82 nucleotides. RefSeq annotates it as small nucleolar RNA SNORD79. NCBI's taxonomy places the organism in Eukaryota, Metazoa, Chordata, Actinopteri, Scatophagidae. The transcript has a single exon. The record is from RefSeq and is a predicted model, not a curated record.
AACUGUCAAUGAUGAUCUUGUUUAUAAAACAAUGGGAAUCUCUCUGAAAAAGAGUGAAAGAUGAAUUUUAACUGAUGCAGUG